Molecule: ribosomal RNA, 557 nt
Filed under: uncultured organism
Description: bacterial SSU rRNA
Rfam family: Bacterial small subunit ribosomal RNA
Source: RNAcentral
CAUCAGCGGCAGACGGGUGAGUAACACGUAGGUAACCUGCCCUCAAGACGGGGAUAACGCCUGGAAACGGGCGCUAAUACCGGAUGACCUUAGUUGGGGAAGAUCCGAUUAAGGAAAGGCUAUGGCGCUUGAGGAGGGGCCUGCGGCCCAUCAGUUAGUUGGUAGGGUAACGGCCUACCAAGGCGAAGACGGGUAGGGGGUGUGAGAGCACGGNCCCCCACACUGGGACUGAGACACGGCCCAGACUCCUACGGGAGGCAGCAGCGGGGAAUAUUGCGCAAUGGACGGAAGUCAGACGCAGCGACGCCGCGUGGGUGAAGAAGGCCUUCGGGUUGUAAAGCCCUUUUCUGAGGGAAGAGAAAGGACGGUACCUUAGGAAUAAGCGUCGGCUAACUACGUGCCAGCAGCCGCGGUAAGACGUAGGACGCGAGCGUUAUCCGGAUUUACUGGGCGUAAAGCGUGUGUAGGCGGCGUGACAAGUUGGGCGUGAAAGCCCCGUGCUCAACGCGGGGAGGCCGCACAAAUACUGUCAGGCUAGAGGGCACCAGAGGGGUGUG